UACGUAGGUGGCAAGCGUUGUCCGGAUUUAUUGGGUUUAAAGGGUGCGUAGGCGGUCCUAUAAGUCAGUGGUGAAAUACGGCAGCUCAACUGUCGAGGUGCCAUUGAUACUGUAGGACUAGAGUACUGUUGAGGUAGGCGGAAUGGACGGUGUAGCGGUGAAAUGCUUAGAUAUGACAUAGAACACCAAUUGCGAAGGCAGCUGGCUACACAAAUAUUGACACUGAGGCACGAAAGCGUGGGGAUCAAACAGG
RNAcentral lists this ribosomal RNA (253 nucleotides) under uncultured bacterium. RNAcentral describes it as "partial 16S ribosomal RNA". It matches the Rfam family "Bacterial small subunit ribosomal RNA", at positions 524 to 776 of the family's 1533-position model. The record is from RNAcentral.